RNAcentral lists this transfer RNA (67 nucleotides) under Saprolegnia parasitica CBS 223.65. It matches the Rfam family "tRNA". From Rfam's summary of the family: Transfer RNA (tRNA) molecules are approximately 80 nucleotides in length. Their secondary structure includes four short double-helical elements and three loops (D, anti-codon, and T loops). Further hydrogen bonds mediate the characteristic L-shaped molecular structure. tRNAs have two regions of fundamental functional importance: the anti-codon, which is responsible for specific mRNA codon recognition, and the 3' end, to which the tRNAs corresponding amino acid is attached (by aminoacyl-tRNA synthetases). tRNAs cope with the degeneracy of the genetic code in two manners: having more than one tRNA (with a specific anti-codon) for a particular amino acid; and 'wobble' base-pairing, i.e. permitting non-standard base-pairing at the 3rd anti-codon position. The record is from Rfam by way of RNAcentral. Lineage: Eukaryota; Oomycota; Saprolegniomycetes; Saprolegniales; Saprolegniaceae.
GGGGAUGUAGCUCAAAUGGUAGAGCGCGCGCUUAGCAUGCGCGAGGUACAGGGAUCGAUCUUCUCCA